This is a long non-coding RNA of Rhipicephalus microplus (southern cattle tick), 417 nucleotides long. The record is from RefSeq and is a predicted model, not a curated record. Lineage: Eukaryota; Metazoa; Arthropoda; Arachnida; Ixodida; Ixodidae.
AGAGAGCUGGCAGAAGUCUUGGAAAAAGAACAUAGUGUAAAUCACAGGCUGCUCUUGGAGCCUGGAAAAACAAUCCUGCCUAGUGCAAGUCCAGACACCAGCAUCACUGAAGCACCUCAAGAUGCAGCAGUCCCAGUCGAGUGCAACACAGCAUCCAAAGUUCGGAGCAGCACAACGCCAAAAAGGAAGCGCCAGAGUAGGUCCCAAGUCACGCCGCUCUUGGAGGCAUUAGAAAAAUGCAAGCUUCGAGAGCUAAGCAAGAGGAGGCAGCAGUGAAACAACUGGAGGAAAGAAAAAAAUGGGAAGAGGCAAAGGCAAAGCGGCAUGAUGAGCGCAUGCAGCGAUUCGAUCGGUUGAUCGACGUACUCCUCAAUAAGGACGGGUUAUUAUAUGGGCAAUAAACUUUUAUAACACUAG